AGCGAGUCGAUAAAUUUAAGAAGAGACUCCGCCAAAAACAAGAAGGAAGGACCACGCCCUGCUCUAGUCGAGUCAUUGAACUUUGUGCAUGGCGCGCACCUGAAAAUAGAACGAGCGCACACGCGCUCUAUAUAAAGAAAUGCGUGAAAAAUAAAAAGAGGCGAACGAACGAACGAACGAACGAAGAGGGUGUGUUAAAGAGAGGGGGGAAAAGAAGCUUACGGACACAACAACCGAGACCAGACGGUUAAAAUGGUAGAAGGAAGGAAGGUGAAUGUUUUUCCUCCUUGAGGCUGUGUCUGGGGAGAGCUUCAAGCGGGAAUGUACGACCAUAAUCUUCCUUUUUCUUUUUCGAACUGAGGCCGAACCCACCACGUAAGAGAAAGAAAAAAAACGUGAUUUAGGAGCCUGGUGACGUAAACGGGCACAGGCAAACAAGUUUUUUUUGUUUCCAGGCCUUGGAAUCUCAACUGGCAGCAGUGACUUGGAUUCCGGGCAAAAUAGAAAAAAAAAGGAUUCUAGAGCCUCUGAUGGUGUGGCCUUGUCUGCAUUCUGGCAUGGAACUUAUCUGACCCUUAGUCGAAAAAGUGAAAUCACCGGUCCCAGACCUAGCCAAGAUUAUUUCUUUUAGAAAGAGGUUAAUCGCUGAAUCUAGUUUAUGGCUUGUUCGCAUUCUGCAGUGGUGGGCUUGAACCGCUUCCAAUGGCUGCUGCACUGACCCUACAACUCAACACAGGCCUGGCUGUUUUCGAGAAAAGAGAAAAUUGUUAUUCAAAGUAGUGCAUCAAACUUUAAAGCAGCCAGACUUGUUGUAGACCUGGGGAUCUUUAACAAUGCGGCACCUUGGCACAAUGCUGACGUAAAUAACGUGACCAGCGGAGGCGUAUAUAGCGGGGGUCAUCGAUCAGCUGCUGCAAAAGAAUCUUCUUCUUCUUCUUAUUUCCAUCAUCAACAUGCAAUUCUCUUUUUUCUAUACACAUUCUGGCUGCCAGGGGAAAAACUGAAUUUUUUGAGGAUGACCUUUACGACCUGUUUCAUAACCGGUUCAUCCAGUCUGGCCAUCAUGCAUAUAUGUAAUCACCAGAAGAAAUCACAUUAGCUUUGCCACAGGAGCCAAAAUAUAAU
Daphnia pulex (common water flea) is the source of this 1125-nucleotide long non-coding RNA. RefSeq lists it as uncharacterized. Lineage: Eukaryota; Metazoa; Arthropoda; Branchiopoda; Diplostraca; Daphniidae. The transcript has 2 exons. The record is from RefSeq and is a predicted model, not a curated record.